RNAcentral lists this signal recognition particle RNA (280 nucleotides) under Aotus nancymaae (Ma's night monkey). Its description in RNAcentral is "Metazoan signal recognition particle RNA (ENSANAG00000006395.1)". It matches the Rfam family "Metazoan signal recognition particle RNA". Rfam says of the family: The signal recognition particle (SRP) is a universally conserved ribonucleoprotein. It is involved in the co-translational targeting of proteins to membranes. Lineage: Eukaryota; Metazoa; Chordata; Mammalia; Primates; Aotidae. The record is from RNAcentral.
GCCUGUAGUCCCAACUACUCAGGAGGCUGAGGUGGGAGGAUCACUUGAGCCCAGGAGUUCUGGGCUGCAAUGCGCUAUGCUGAUUGGGUGUCUGCACUAAGUUUGGCAUCAAUAUGGUGACCUCCUGGGAGCGGGGGACCACCAGGUUGCCUGAGGAGGGGUGAACUGGCCCAGGUCGGAAACGGAGCAGGUCAAAACUGCCGUGCUGAUCAGUAGUGGGAUCGUGCCUGUGAAUAGCUACUGCACUCCAGGCUAAGCAACAAAGCAAGACCCUGUCUUU